CCUACGGGUGGCAGCAGUGAGGAAUAUUGGGCAAUGGACGCAAGUCUGAACCAGCCAUGCCGCGUGCAGGAAGACGGCUCUAUGAGUUGUAAACUGCGUUUGUACGAGGGUAAACGCAGAUACGCGUAUCUGUCUGAAAGUAUCGUACGAAUAAGGAUCGGCUAACUCCGUUCCAGCAGCCGCGGUAAUGCGAAGGAUUCAAGCGUUAUCCGGAUUUAUUGGGUUUAAAGGGUGCGUAGGCGGUCGGAUAAGUUAGGGGUGAAAUCCCGAGGCUCAACUUCGGAAUUGCCUCUGAUACUGUGCGGCUAGAGAGCAGUUGCGGUAGGCGGAAUGUAUGGUGUAGCGGUGAAAUGCUUAGAGAUCAUACAGAACACCGAUUGCGAAGGCAGCUAACCAAGCCACUUCUGACGUUGAGGCACGAAAGCGUGGGGAGCAAACAGGAUUAGAUACCCUAGUAGUC
Molecule: ribosomal RNA, 460 nt
Filed under: uncultured bacterium
Lineage: Bacteria
Description: partial 16S ribosomal RNA
Rfam family: Bacterial small subunit ribosomal RNA
Source: RNAcentral